GUUGUUGUUAUUGUUGUUGUUGUUGUUAAAAAUGAGUGUACUUUAUGGCUAUAUCUUUGUGAAGAAUGUCGUGGCAGGAAGAGAAAAGAAUGAAGAUUCACAGUGGAGACCAUGAGGCAAUAAUUCCACUUUACUCCAUCUAAUUUCUUUGGCUGAAUCUCAUGCUGAACUCUAAAUCCUGGUGAUCUGUAUGGAGACCCAGUGACCCUCGAGGCGACAAACGUGUAAGAGUUCAAAACAACAGAACCUUUUAUCUGAGAAAAAUGGAAAUCAUUCCAAAUGCUUGAAGGGGCAUGUAGUGGUUUCCAAACUCCAGUGUGCCUGAGACGCUCACUGGAAACUUGCUCAACUUAUCUAUGUAAGUAAUUCUAAAUCAGCUGGUUUGGACUGAAGCCUGCAGAUCUGCAUUUUUAACAAGCACUCUGGAAAUAUCCUCUGAUUGAGAAAUGCUGAACUCGGAGCAAGACCUUAGAGCUUGAUUGCAUUAUAUGAUGGGGACAUUGCAAAAGGCUUCCUUCAGCUCCAGAAGCUCUCUGUGGGAUAGAAACACACUUGGAGUUUUCCAAUCAGUGCUUGCCUCCGAAAUCCCACAUCUGGCUAGGUGGUGGUGGACUCUGGGUGUGGCGUCUCUCUGUCAGUAGGCUGUCUGGGACCCACAGCAGUCCCGAGCCCAAGAACGGCACAUCUGACUAUGUCCUGGCCUGGGUCAGCUUGGCCUGUGAAACCAGGGCCGUGUUCCAGGUCCGUGUGACUGAGGGGCGAGGAGCCUGGUUCCCACGGGAACAGGUGUGUAGGGGCUGGUGGCCCUGACCUUGUGGGGAUUUGGGCCUGGGAAGGCAGCACGGCCUGGGGCUGGGGGAAUCUUGGGAACAGGCGUUGGAGAGGUAAACGAAUUCUCUGUUUAUUUCAAGUUAGCUUAAGAUCUUAGACAAGUGACUUAUCUUCCCUGAGUUACAAUUUCUCUGUGAGAGAUCUUAAUGCCCUCCUCGGGGGCCCCCGGGGGAGAUUAAGAGGGUACUUCGUGUAAAGCGUGGGGCAGAGACUUAACAGAUAGUAGUGUAUUUAUUCCUUUCCUUUUCUUUUUUUUUUUUU
RNAcentral lists this long non-coding RNA (1092 nucleotides) under Sus scrofa (pig). Its description in RNAcentral is "lncRNA (ENSSSCG00055021369.1)". The record is from RNAcentral. Lineage: Eukaryota; Metazoa; Chordata; Mammalia; Artiodactyla; Suidae.